GAAAUGCGAUAAGUAGUGUGAAUUGCAGAAUUCAGUGAAUCAUCGAAUCUUUGAACGCACAUUGCGCCCCUUGGUAUUCCAUGGGGCAUGCCUGUUCGAGCGUCAUUUGUACCCUCAAGCUCUGCUUGGUGUCGGGUGUUUGUCCCCGUCUCCGCGCGUGGACUCGCCCCAAAGUGAUUGGCAGCCGGCGUACUGGUCCCGGAGCGCAGCACAUGUCGCGCAAACGAGUGCCUUGGUACGGCGGCGUCCAUAAGCCCCUCUCUCACGCUCUUGACCUCGGAUCAGGUAGGGAUACCCGCUGAACUUAAGC
Molecule: unclassified non-coding RNA, 310 nt
Filed under: plant metagenome
Description: partial contains 5.8S ribosomal RNA, internal transcribed spacer 2, and large subunit ribosomal RNA
Rfam family: 5.8S ribosomal RNA (bases 1-105)
Source: RNAcentral